Molecule: ribosomal RNA, 406 nt
Filed under: uncultured bacterium
Lineage: Bacteria
Description: partial 16S ribosomal RNA
Rfam family: Bacterial small subunit ribosomal RNA
Source: RNAcentral
AUUGAACGCUGGCGGCAGGCCUAACACAUGCAAGUCGAACGAGUGGCGGACGGGUGAGUAAUGUCUGGGAAACUGCCUGAUGGAGGGGGAUAACUACUGGAAAAGGUCGCUAAUACAGCAUACCAUCGGAUGUGCCCAGAUGGGAGUAGCUUGUUGGUGGGGUAACGUCUCACAGAGGGUACGAUCCCUAGCUGGUCUGAGAGGAUGACCAGGCAGACCUGAACUGAGAAACGGUCCCGUCUCCUACGGGAGGCAGCAGUGGGUAAUAUUGCACAAUGGACGCAAGCCUGAUGCGGCAAUGCCGCGUGUAUGAAGCAGGCCCUAGGGGUGUAGAGUACUUUUCGUCGGGAGGCGUUACCGACAGAAGAAGCACCGGCUAACUCCGUGCCAGCAGCCGCGGUAAUAC